GCUCCGGGAGCACGCGCCUGUCUCUUUAAAUGCCAGGGGCUGCGCUCUCUCCCGGGGCGCCUGGAGCCGGAUCUACAAUCCCCUCCCUCCCGUUCCGGCGCUUGUUGCUCGCCGAGUCCGAGCUGGAGCUGCCGCCGCCGGGUAGCGAAGCUGCCUCCUGCACCCCGUUCUCGCACCCCACCUCCCCCGAGGGCAGGUUGAGGGGGAGCAGCAGCCCCAGCAGGAGGUAGGGGGUGCUGUGUGAACAGGCAUUGCCCCCCACCGUCAACUCUUGAGGCUGAGGCGCUACGUAACCGCGGGGGCAAGACAUGCGUGGCCGCCCCCUGCCCAGCCUCGUUGCCGCCCGCGCGGGGAGAGGAGGGACUGCGGAUCUCACACCGGCAAACUCGCCCUAGAAGUCUCAAGGGGCGGCGGGGGUGUCCCUCGCAAUUCCCCACGGCCUCCACCUCCCGGCGGCUGAGUUUUCGCAGGUGGUAUCAGCCCCUGUCCGGGGUCCCGCGCCAAUGACCCGAGUAGUGGUUUCACUUUCUCCCCUCUCGGCGGUGUGACCGCGUGUCCGCAGCGUGAUGGGUAACCAGGUGGAGAAACUGACCCACCUAAGUUACAAGGAAGUUCCCACAGCCGACCCUACCGGCGUGGACCGGGACGACGGGCCUCGCAUCGGCGUCUCCUACAUCUUCUCCAACGACGACGAGGACGUGGAGGCCCCGCCGCCCCAGGGACCCGAUGGCGGCGGCGGUUUGCCCGACAGCGGGGACGGGCCGCCGCUGCCCGCGCCGCAGCUCUACGACCCGCGGCUGCACGAGGUGGAGUGCUCCGUGUUCUACCGCGAUGAGUGCAUCUACCAGAAAAGCUUCGCGCCGGGCUCCGCGGCGCUGAGCACCUACACGCCCGAGAACCUGCUCAACAAGUGCAGGCCUGGCGACCUGGUGGAGUUUGUGUCGCAGGCGCAGUACCCGCACUGGGCUGUAUAUGUGGGCAACUUCCAAGUGGUGCACUUGCACCGGCUGGAGGUGAGCAACAGCUUCCUGACGGACGCGAGUCAGGGCCGACGUGGCCGCGUGGUGAACGAUCUGUAUCGCUACAAGCCGCUGAGCCCCGGCACCGUGGUGCGUAACGCGCUGGCCCACGUGGGCGCCAAGGAGCGCGAGCUGAGUUGGCGCAACUCCGAGAGCUUCGCCGCCUGGUGCCGCUAUGGCAAGCGCGAGUUCAAGAUCGGCGGCGAGCUGCGCAUCGGCAAGCAGCCUUAUCGGCUGCAGAUCCAGCUCUCCGCACAGCGCAGCCACACGCUCGAGUUCCAGAGCCUGGAGGACCUGAUCAUGGAGAAGCGGCGCAAUGACCAGAUCGGGCGUGCAGCUGUGCUGCAGGAGCUCGCCACGCACCUGCACCCCGCCGAGCCGGACGAGGGCGGCAGCGACGCCGCGCGGACUACGCCGCCUCCCGGGCGCCACCCUGCGGCCGGCCGAGAGGAGGAGGGCCGAGAGUCGGUGGUGCACUGACACGGAAGCCGAGGUGCAGAGCUGUGAAAGUGCGCUCUUUGCGGCAGCCGCUGCCCCCUCCCUCUGACUCCCUCCUCCACCACCUUCUGGGCCCCAUCUGGGUUCCUGGGCCAUUUGGAAAAAAGGAAUGUUGGCGAAGUGUGCUUCCAGCUGUGACUUGAGCUUGUUAUCCUGGACGGAGGAGGAAGAGGGAGCAGCACACUGAGUCCCAUCUGACGAGGAAUGAGAUGGAUUGCUAAACCAGAAGAGAAUGUGGCUUCCAGUUCUCCAGGCGAGAGACUCAAACCAGAAGACAAAGAACUUUGGAAUUGAACUGUGGCUUUUUCUCAGGGGAAGCAGCAUCAAGGCCAAGCCGAGAAGGUGCUUAUCAGUCAGGAUCCUGGGAGAAGACCUCACCUUCAGAUUUGGGAACUGAGUCUAAGAGAGUCACCAGCUUGCCCAAUGGCACACUUCGAGUAAGCGGUAUGGCCAGGGUUUGAACCUGGUGAGGCAGACUCCACCUCCCAUGAUGAUUGAGGCCACACCACAAGGGAACUCGCCAUAAACUUCAUAGGGAGACGAUGGCUUUGCUACAGGGACUGUCCCCUGCACCUACUCCCUUGUCAUUUGAAUAGACAAUAUCUGCAUCACUGGGAUCAACCACCUCUACUGCUUAUCUUCACACCAGCUGGCCAGAGUGAGAGCUUCCAUGGAUCCUGGAUCGCUGCCUAAGGAAAGUUACUCCAUGGAUUCAACUGACCAACAGUUGUGAAGAGGGAAAAGGAAAGGGAGGACCAGAGGGGCAGUGCCUCACAUUGUCCAUUCCAACAAAGGCAAAUUCUGUGUGAGAAAAACAAGGUCUUUCCUCAUUUCAUUCCACAACUCACUGAUGUGCAUACAUAGGCUGGAGAUAAUGAGAUGCCGUUUCAGCUUCCAGGAAGCGGAGGAAAAGCAAAGUUAAUGACAGCUCCAGGUACCAUUGAUAUACAAUCUUAUGAAGGUUUCACAUGAGCAACAUUGUGGUUACUACAUUCACCUAUGUUAUCAAGUCGCCCUCCACACCCACUGCAGUCACUGUCCAUCCAUGCAAUAAUCACAGACACUGUUGAUUGACCAGCCUAACACCUAUUGCCAACUCCUUUUUCUCUUGAUCUCAUCCUAUAUGGAAGUUAGAAGACCUAAAUAUGUUAUCUGCCAGGCUUCUUUGCAUCUAGAGUGGACACAUGGAUAUCACACUGCUGCAGUGUGGCUGAAAUCCUUCCCUCCCAGUUCUUCUUCCUUUGAGUACAGGGAGAGAAAAUACAGAAAGAGCUUAAGUCUUUGGUGUCAUUGAACCACUGUACCAGUGCUGGUUUUCAAACUCCAGAUGGCUUGUUAUGUUGGGAAAAUAUUUAUAUCAAUUAAGAGACUAUUACUUGGGUUUUUAGAAAUUUCAACCAAAAAUAUUCCUC
Manis javanica (Malayan pangolin) is the source of this 2929-nucleotide non-coding RNA. Lineage: Eukaryota; Metazoa; Chordata; Mammalia; Pholidota; Manidae. The record is from RefSeq and is a predicted model, not a curated record.